RNAcentral lists this microRNA precursor (101 nucleotides) under Podarcis lilfordi (Lilford's wall lizard). Lineage: Eukaryota; Metazoa; Chordata; Lepidosauria; Squamata; Lacertidae. The record is from RNAcentral.
AAAUUACACUUUGCAUUCAAUGCAUAUUUAAUUAAACUAGCAUAUGCAUACACAAGUUUAAUUAAAUAUGCAUUGAAUGCAAAGUGUAAUUUAACAGGGAG